GAGGGUGAUAAUUCAGUGGAAUAGUUCUAUUUUACCCGUUGGUCCUUGGUCGACCCGAUUGAAUGCAUAUAUCGGGGUUCUCAUGUGUAAAGUGAACAUUAUCAACCCUUAUUUUCAUUUUCGAGAACUACUAUGGACCGCAUACGAGGCGGUAUGGACUAAGCUUAUGGAGGGAUUUGACGCUACAUCCAAGGAGGUUGCAUCUGUGUACAUUUAGCAGGAGGAGGAACAAACCAAGCCGGGCCCUCACAUGCUUUCUGUAGAGGAGAACAUCACUCUCACACUGAACCUGAUGGGUCAUAAUAGGAGAGGAAGAUAUCCUCUACAUGGUGUUGGAGCUUCACUCGGCAUAAGCAUGAGAUCAUCCACAACAUCCUCCACGCCAUCUACAUCAAUGAGAACAGCCCCAAGUAGUUUCUAGGCUAAACCAUUUGUCGCACAAAUCUCCUACGUAUUUGAUUGACAAGAUUGACCCGGAGCUGCAUAUUCAGGUGACUAAUGAGAUGACUAGAGUUGCGCUGACGACGAACUUGAUGGAUGAUCUCAUGGGGUAUGUUAUACAAUAUUUAGGUGGUGUGAUUCCUUAUAGCGUGUAUGGUGGUAUCAUACGGAUCAUAUGCUCGAUUAACGAUAAUUCUGGCACAAGGCAGAGCAGCGCUCAGAGUAGAGAUAUUAGAGGGAGCAGCACCCGUUCUCGUAACCGGGAUAG
Molecule: long non-coding RNA, 709 nt
Organism: Asparagus officinalis (garden asparagus)
Lineage: Eukaryota; Viridiplantae; Streptophyta; Magnoliopsida; Asparagales; Asparagaceae
Exons: 4
Source: RefSeq, a predicted model, not a curated record